This 1146-nucleotide long non-coding RNA is filed under the name Gossypium barbadense (sea-island cotton). Its description in RNAcentral is "long non-coding RNA (GBAR_LNC001314)". Lineage: Eukaryota; Viridiplantae; Streptophyta; Magnoliopsida; Malvales; Malvaceae. The record is from RNAcentral.
GUGUCUUAGAAAGAUGAACUCUUUUUGGUCUUGUAGCGGUAAAGAAGCCUCUUCUUCUUGCUGGAAGUGUUGUCAAUAGUGAGAACUAGCUUUCCAGAUUCAUUAUUGAUGAAGGUGUUGCGGAUGGGACCUGCUUCUAGAGACUGUGACACCAUCUUCUUGCUCUUCUGGACUAUAAUGGUGUAUGACCCCUGGUCAAAUGGUACAAAUUCCACCUUGUAGUUUACUUCCCAAUUCAAAACCGAAAGUUCCCAGAUCGAUGUGCUUCCAACCUGACAGUCACACUCAAUCAUUUAGGCACACAAUACAAAAGAAUUGAUUUGAUUGUAACGUUAGUGAAGUACCUCUUCGGCAGGUAUCUCAAUGGUCACGGUUGAUCCUGCCUUGAUACUAAUUUCUGAAACAGCAGCAUCUUGGUCACUGAACUCAAAAUCAUUUUCUCUCUUGAAGCCACCGUACUGCACUGGGACUUCUUCAGCAGGAAUGUACCUUCAAGAAUCAAAUUGCCAUCAGUCUUCCAACUCAACACCAGCUGAGUGAUAACCAAGGAUUAAAGAUAUGGAAUACUUACUUGAGAAGGGUGUCAGUGACCUUUGCUGGGCAAGCCACCAUGAACUUGCUCUUAGAUCUUUGCGUUAGGAAAGGAGAUAACAGUGCAUUGAGGGCAUAGAACCAGAAUGGAACGUUUAUGAAGAUCUAUAAUAAGAGUUCCCAGAUAUCAAGCACAGUUUAAACUCCCAAAUCAGAUAUGUAAAUUGAAUGAGAAACUUACAUUUCUUGCUACAUAUUCAGGAUAAUUGUCUUGUAAGGCUCCCACAGCUUGUUUCAUGGCAAUCCUUAGUUCUUUCCUUGAGGGUCCAGGAGAGUUCUUGAGAUCAUUGAUUUGAAGCAAAGAAGUGACACCACCGGGCCUCAAGUCAAGCUUUUGAAUACCCUUUUCCAUCAACUGAAAUCUCCAUCUUAAAAAGUGCCUGCGAUUCUCGCCCGUCCCGAAUGUCUUCUUAUAAAGCUCUUCAUCCGCAAACACUCCAUAGAUGUUGUAACAGACGGGAUGGCCUUCCUUAUCAAUCCCAUUCAUGUAAGCGGCGGACCCUAGCUCAGCCCCAAACUCCUCCUCCAACACUGAAUCAAUGUUGCCAUCCUUCC